Molecule: unclassified non-coding RNA, 347 nt
Filed under: Hevea brasiliensis (rubber tree)
Lineage: Eukaryota; Viridiplantae; Streptophyta; Magnoliopsida; Malpighiales; Euphorbiaceae
Source: RNAcentral
UCUUGAUAUUUCACAAGUUAUAUAUAUAUCUUAAUUAAUCUUGAUAUUAAUUAGUGAAGUGUUUUAAUCUGACUUUGAAGCCCAAUUAAUUACCGAGGUUAAAAAACAUUCUUUCUUUGUACUAAUGAUUUGGUUCCAAUCAUUGUCAUUCUUUAACUUGAAUUUUUUUUUCCUUUAUUUGACAGAUUUGUUCGGGUACUUACAAAGUUUGCCCAACAUAAAUUUAUUGUAUUAGUCUAGAAAUGUAAGAAUAAGCGAAUUUGAUGUAGUUGGUAAAUAUGGGUAUUCUCCAAAAUUAUUGAGCAGAGUCUAGAGGUCAAUUAUGGAGUUGCAAUUAUUGCUUUUUA